RNAcentral lists this ribosomal RNA (419 nucleotides) under uncultured bacterium. Its description in RNAcentral is "bacterial SSU rRNA". It matches the Rfam family "Bacterial small subunit ribosomal RNA", at positions 19 to 428 of the family's 1533-position model. The record is from RNAcentral.
CUGGCUCAGAACGAACGCUGGCGGCGUGCUUAACACAUGCAAGUCGAACGCGAAAGGGACUUCGGUCCUGAGUAAAGUGGCGCACGGGUGAGUAACGCGUAGAUAACCUGUCUUUAUGUCUGGAAUAAUACGCCGAAAGGGGUACUAAUACCGGAUAUUUUUGCAUUGCACAAGUGAUGUAAGCAAAGGUGGCCUCUGACAUAAGCUACUGCAUAAAGAGGGGUCUGCGUACCAUUAGCUAGUAGGUGGGGUAAAGGCCUACCUAGGCUACGAUGGUUAGCGGGUCUGAGAGGAUGAUCGCCACACUGGCACUGGAACACGGGCCAGACUCCUACGGAGGCAGCAGUGAGGAAUAUUGCGCAAUGGGGGCAACCCUGACGCAGCGACGCCGCGUGAGUGAGGAAGGCCUCGGGUCGUAA